GCUGCUACCACCAUCCGCGGUGUUGACAUAAACACAGAUGCUGUAGUAUUCUGUCCUGGAAGAGCAAUCCUGAGGACUCCUCCACAAGUCUCACGGAAGUGCUGGCUGCAGUUCUUUGAGGCUGCAGAGGCUGUAGUGGGCUUCUGGUCCUGGGACCACUGUCGCACCUCUGCUGGCAAGAGGUGGUAAAAUUGCUCCAGC
This is a non-coding RNA of Pelobates cultripes (western spadefoot toad), 201 nucleotides long. The record is from the annotation of a GenBank genome assembly. NCBI's taxonomy places the organism in Eukaryota, Metazoa, Chordata, Amphibia, Anura, Pelobatidae.